This 471-nucleotide ribosomal RNA is filed under the name uncultured bacterium. Its description in RNAcentral is "bacterial SSU rRNA". It matches the Rfam family "Bacterial small subunit ribosomal RNA", at positions 355 to 825 of the family's 1533-position model. The record is from RNAcentral.
UGGGGAAUAUUGCGCAAUGGGCGAAAGCCUGACGCAGCAACGCCGCGUGAGUGAUGAAGGCCUUCGGGUCGUAAAGCUCUGUCGGACGGAACGAAAUGGUCAGGGUGAGUAUCCCUGACUGAUGACGGUACUGUAAGAAGAAGCACCGGCUAACUACGUGCCAGCAGCCGCGGUAAUACGUAGGGUGCGAGCGUUAAUCGGAAUUACUGGGCGUAAAGCGUGCGCAGGCGGCCGCGCAAGUCAGGUGUGAAAUCCCCGGGCUUAACCUGGGAAUUGCAUUUGAGACUGCACGGCUAGAGUGUGUCAGAGGGGGGUAGAAUUCCACGUGUAGCAGUGAAAUGCGUAGAUAUGUGGAGGAAUACCGAUGGCGAAGGCAGCCCCCUGGGAUAACACUGACGCUCAUGCACGAAAGCGUGGGAGCAAACAGGAUUAGAUACCCAGGUAGUCCCUGAGCGGGCUGGCAAGGCGCAU